Molecule: ribosomal RNA, 483 nt
Filed under: uncultured bacterium
Lineage: Bacteria
Description: partial 16S ribosomal RNA
Rfam family: Bacterial small subunit ribosomal RNA
Source: RNAcentral
AUUGAACGCUGGCGGCAGGCCUAACACAUGCAAGUCGAGCGGAUGAAGGGAGCUUGCUCCUGGAUUCAGCGGCGGACGGGUGAGUAAUGCCUAGGAAUCUGCCUGGUAGUGGGGGAUAACGUCCGGAAACGGGCGCUAAUACCGCAUACGUCCUGAGGGAGAAAGUGGGGGAUCUUCGGACCUCACGCUAUCAGAUGAGCCUAGGUCGGAUUAGCUAGUUGGUGGGGUAAAGGCCUACCAAGGCGACGAUCCGUAACUGGUCUGAGAGGAUGAUCAGUCACACUGGAACUGAGACACGGUCCAGACUCCUACGGGAGGCAGCAGUGGGGAAUAUUGGAAGAUGGGCGAAAGCCUGAUCCAGCCAUGCCGCGUGUGUGAAGAAGGUCUUCGGAUUGUAAAGCACUUUAAGUUGGGAGGAAGGGCAGUAAGUUAAUACCUUGCUGUUUUGACGUUACCAACAGAAUAAGCACCGGCUAACUUCGU